RNAcentral lists this ribosomal RNA (477 nucleotides) under Pseudomonas sp. 01WB04.1-72. RNAcentral describes it as "bacterial SSU rRNA". It matches the Rfam family "Bacterial small subunit ribosomal RNA", at positions 1 to 479 of the family's 1533-position model. Lineage: Bacteria; Pseudomonadati; Pseudomonadota; Gammaproteobacteria; Pseudomonadales; Pseudomonadaceae. The record is from RNAcentral.
UUAGAGCUUGAUCAUGGCUCAGAUUGAACGCUGGCGGCAGGCCUAACACAUGCAAGUCGAGCGGAUGAGAGGAGCUUGCUCCUGGAUUCAGCGGCGGACGGGUGAGUAAUGCCUAGGAAUCUGCCUGGUAGUGGGGGACAACGUUUCGAAAGGAACGCUAAUACCGCAUACGUCCUACGGGAGAAAGCAGGGGACCUUCGGGCCUUGCGCUAUCAGAUGAGCCUAGGUCGGAUUAGCUAGUUGGUGAGGUAAUGGCUCACCAAGGCGACGAUCCGUAACUGGUCUGAGAGGAUGAUCAGUCACACUGGAACUGAGACACGGUCCAGACUCCUACGGGAGGCAGCAGUGGGGAAUAUUGGACAAUGGGCGAAAGCCUGAUCCAGCCAUGCCGCGUGUGUGAAGAAGGUCUUCGGAUUGUAAAGCACUUUAAGUUGGGAGGAAGGGUUGUAGAUUAAUACUCUGCAACUUUGACGUACC